GGAGAGAUGGCUCAGUGGUUAAGAGCACUGACUGCUCAUUCAGAGGUCCUGAGUUCAAUUCCCAGCCACCACA
This is a non-coding RNA of Rattus norvegicus (Norway rat), 73 nucleotides long. The record is from Rfam. NCBI's taxonomy places the organism in Eukaryota, Metazoa, Chordata, Mammalia, Rodentia, Muridae.